Molecule: long non-coding RNA, 540 nt
Filed under: Cricetulus griseus (Chinese hamster)
Lineage: Eukaryota; Metazoa; Chordata; Mammalia; Rodentia; Cricetidae
Description: lncRNA (ENSCGRG00015035603.1)
Source: RNAcentral
GAGUUGUUGUCACCCGCCACGGCGAGUUCUCGGUGGCCCGCAUCCUCUUCGCUCCGGGAACUUCCCUCAGUUUUCUUGUGAAGCCAGGCGUCUCGCAUGCCUGGUGAUGGCCCAGUUCCGCUCGCAGGAUGGAGCUGGAGGGAAGCGUGAGGCUAGUGACAAGGCUUGUGGAUGUGCCGCCGGAACAGGCUUGGAAUCCUAAUUUGUGGUCUUUAGUACCUUGUGACCUGGCAAGUGACUUGGCCUUUCUGAACAGCAUCUGGUCAUCUAUAAAAGGGUGCAGAGUAGCAAUAACUACCCAGUGAGGGUUGCGGAAAGGAUCAAAGGAAGCAACACUUAAACUUACAUAUUUGCAAAUUCGAGUUGGUCCAGACCUUGUAGAUGCUGCGCUGCUUUGGUCGCUGGGUUUUCCAGUCCACUAAACAUUUAGGUUUCUCUGUGUAGCUUUGGAGGUUGUCCUGGAACUCGCUCUGUAAACCAGAUUGGCCUGGAACUCCCAGAGAUCUGCCUGCCUCUGCUUCCCGAGUGCUGCAAUUAAAG